CUCUAUGGAAAUCCGUUAUAGAUUCAUAGCUUGGAGAGGCUUGGGAGCAUGGUGCUCAAAUGAUGUACACAACCCAUAUGGGGUGAGUUUGUGGAAAUACAUUAGGAGACAUUGGGAGAUCUUUCGAAGACAUGAACAUAUUGUGGUGGGUGAUGGCUCUCGUAUCAGAUUUUGGUAUGACAAAUGGUGUGGUGAAUGAAGCCUCCGAGACACCUUCCUUGCCAUUUUUGAACUCACACGAGAAAAGGAUGUAGCGAUAGUGAUCUCUUGGUCUUUUUUGGUGGCUCCCCUCAAUGGAUGUGGAUUUCAUUAGAGCAACCCAAGAUUGGGAGUUGGAGACUAUCAUAGAGUUCUAUAUGGCAUUGUAUUUUGUAAGCAUGGUAGAGUUUGCCAUAGAUAAGAUGAACUGGAGCUCCUCCAAAAAAGGUAAAUUCACUGUUAGAUCGUUUUACCAAGUUCUAAUGAGCCCUGGAAUGACUAUGUUCUCAUGGAAGAGUAUAUGACAGACGAAAGCUCCUUCAAAAGCUGUUUUUUUUUUUUUUUUUUUUUUGUAUGGACAACAUCAUUAGACAAGAUCCUCACAACAGAUAACUUAAGGAAAUGCUGGGUCAUAGUGUUGGACUAGUGUUGUAUGUGUAAGGAAAAUGGUGAAUCAGUAAAUCAUUUGCUUUUACACUACGAGGUGGCCAAGACUAUGUGGGAUGAUUUUGUCGUGAGAAUUGGAUUGUCAUGGGUUAUGCCUCUUAGACUAGUGAAUUUUUUUGCAAGUUGGAGAGGCUUUCGAGGUAACUCACAAGUGGCAGCAAUUUGGAGAAUGGUUUCUAUAUGUAUGUGUUGGUGUAUUUGGCGGGAGAGAAAUGAUAGGAGAUUUGAAGAUUGCGAGAGAACAAUGGAUGGACUUAAAGUUUUCUUUUUUAAAUCAUUGUCCUUAUGGGUGGGGCCAUUGUUUGUAAUGGGCUAGAUGUCCAUGAUUUUCUCCUUUCUAUUGUAAACUCUAAUUAGGUAAUUCUCAUAUAUACUCCCUGUGUUCUUGGGCUUUGCCUACUCCUAUUAAUAAAACUUUUUGAUUACCUAU
Juglans microcarpa x Juglans regia is the source of this 1075-nucleotide long non-coding RNA. RefSeq lists it as uncharacterized. The record is from RefSeq and is a predicted model, not a curated record. The transcript is spliced from 2 exons. Lineage: Eukaryota; Viridiplantae; Streptophyta; Magnoliopsida; Fagales; Juglandaceae.